RNAcentral lists this ribosomal RNA (573 nucleotides) under Escherichia coli. RNAcentral's name for it is "bacterial LSU rRNA". It matches the Rfam family "Bacterial large subunit ribosomal RNA", at positions 2349 to 2916 of the family's 2925-position model. RNAcentral also lists the same sequence under 1 other name. The record is from RNAcentral. Lineage: Bacteria; Pseudomonadati; Pseudomonadota; Gammaproteobacteria; Enterobacterales; Enterobacteriaceae.
GUGCAAUGGCAUAAGCCAGCUUGACUGCGAGCGUGACGGCGCGAGCAGGUGCGAAAGCAGGUCAUAGUGAUCCGGUGGUUCUGAAUGGAAGGGCCAUCGCUCAACGGAUAAAAGGUACUCCGGGGAUAACAGGCUGAUACCGCCCAAGAGUUCAUAUCGACGGCGGUGUUUGGCACCUCGAUGUCGGCUCAUCACAUCCUGGGGCUGAAGUAGGUCCCAAGGGUAUGGCUGUUCGCCAUUUAAAGUGGUACGCGAGCUGGGUUUAGAACGUCGUGAGACAGUUCGGUCCCUAUCUGCCGUGGGCGCUGGAGAACUGAGGGGGGCUGCUCCUAGUACGAGAGGACCGGAGUGGACGCAUCACUGGUGUUCGGGUUGUCAUGCCAAUGGCACUGCCCGGUAGCUAAAUGCGGAAGAGAUAAGUGCUGAAAGCAUCUAAGCACGAAACUUGCCCCGAGAUGAGUUCUCCCUGACUCCUUGAGAGUCCUGAAGGAACGUUGAAGACGACGACGUUGAUAGGCCGGGUGUGUAAGCGCAGCGAUGCGUUGAGCUAACCGGUACUAAUGAACCGUGAGG